GAUAAAUAAAAUAAAACAUUACAAAAAAUACUGUAGAGAAAUAUUUAUCACAUAUUUAGCUAUUAUUAGCUGAAGUCCAAAAUAGUUUCUAAUAUAGGAAAAAACUGUAUAUUGUUAAGUCCUGGGAUUCACCAAUAAUUGGCCAUCGGUCACCUCUGUUGCUCACUCAGCUCUUUAACUCGUGCAUCAUUUUCUCCAAAAGCACUGUAGCAGUAUGUAUUGCAAGGAUCCUAAUCUGAAAGUGGGUGAAACCGGUUUGGCUUUCAAAGAAGUCAUCAUCGAAUUUGAAAUAUUUAAAGUGGAUACAAAACUGUUUCAGCAAUGCAGACAAUUAAGUGUGUUGUUGUGGGCGAUGGUGCCGUUGGUAAAACAUGUCUUCUGAUAUCCUACACAACAAACAAAUUUCCAUCUGAGUAUGUACCGAC
Non-coding RNA from Leptonychotes weddellii (Weddell seal), 425 nucleotides. NCBI's taxonomy places the organism in Eukaryota, Metazoa, Chordata, Mammalia, Carnivora, Phocidae. The record is from RefSeq and is a predicted model, not a curated record.